UGGGGAAUAUUGCACAAUGGGCGCAAGCCUGAUGCAGCCAUGCCGCGUGUGUGAAGAAGGCCUUCGGGUUGUAAAGCACUUUCAGCGGGGAGGAAGGCGUUAAGGUUAAUAACCUUGGCGAUUGACGUUACCCGCAGAAGAAGCACAGGCUAACUCCGUGCCAGCAGCCGCGGUAAUACGGAGGGUGCAAGCGUUAAUCGGAAUUACUGGGCGUAAAGCGCACGCAGGCGGUCUGUCAAGUCGGAUGUGAAAUCCCCGGGCUCAACCUGGGAACUGCAUUCGAAACUGGCAGGCUAGAGUCUUGUAGAGGGGGGUAGAAUUCCAGGUGUAGCGGUGAAAUGCGUAGAGAUCUGGAGGAAUACCGGUGGCGAAGGCGGCCCCCUGGACAAAGACUGACGCUCAGGUGCGAAAGCGUGGGGAGCAAACAGG
Molecule: ribosomal RNA, 429 nt
Filed under: Chloroflexota bacterium
Lineage: Bacteria; Bacillati; Chloroflexota
Description: Chloroflexi bacterium partial 16S ribosomal RNA
Rfam family: Bacterial small subunit ribosomal RNA
Source: RNAcentral